RNAcentral lists this ribosomal RNA (459 nucleotides) under uncultured bacterium. Its description in RNAcentral is "partial 16S ribosomal RNA". It matches the Rfam family "Bacterial small subunit ribosomal RNA", at positions 338 to 795 of the family's 1533-position model. The record is from RNAcentral.
CCUACGGGAGGCAGCAGUGAGGAAUAUUGGUCAAUGGCCGGAAGGCUGAACCAGCCAAGCCGCGUGAAGGACGAAGGUGCCAAGCAUUGUAAACUUCUUUUGUCAAGGGACAAAAUCAGGCUCGAGAGCCUGACCGAGGGUACUUGAAGUAAAAGCAUCGGCUAACUCCGCUCCAGCAGCCGCGGUAAUACGGGGGAUGCGAGAGUUACCCGGAUUUAUUGGGUUAAAGGGGUGCGUAGGCGGGCUGUUUAGUCAGCGGUAAAAGCCCGGGGCGAAACCCCGGCGAGCCGUUGAAACUGGCUGUCUUGAGAUGGCGAGAGGUAUGCGGAAUGCGCAGUGUAGCGGUGAAAUGCUUAGAUAUUGCGAAGAACUCCGAUUGCGAAGGCAGCAUACCGGCGGCGAUCUGACGCUGAGGCACGAAAGCGUGGGUAUCGAACAGGAUUAGAUACCCGGGUAGUC